Molecule: ribosomal RNA, 915 nt
Filed under: uncultured archaeon
Lineage: Archaea
Description: bacterial SSU rRNA
Rfam family: Archaeal small subunit ribosomal RNA
Source: RNAcentral
UUCCGGUUGAUCCCGCCGGACCUGACUGCUAUCGGAUUGAUACUAAGCCAUGCGAGUCAUUGUAGCAAUACAAGGCAUACGGCUCAGUAACGCGUAGUCAAUCUAACCUAUGGACGGGGAUAACCUCGGGAAACUGAGAAUAAUACCCGAUAGAACAUUAUGCCUGGAAUGGUUUAUGUUUCAAAUAAUUUAUUGCCGUAGGAUGGGACUGCGGCCUAUCAGUUUGUUGGUGAGGUAAUGGCCCACCAAGACUAUUACAGGUACGGGCUCUGAGAGGAGUAGCCCGGAGAUGGGUACUGAGACACGGACCCAGGCCCUAUGGGGCGCAGCAGGCGAGAAAACUUUGCAAUGUGCGAAAGCACGACAAGGUUAAUCCGAGUGGUUUCUGCUAAAGGAACCUUUUGUUAGUCAUAGAACCACUAAUGAAUAAGGGGUGGGCAAGUUCUGGUGUCAGCCGCCGCGGUAAAACCAGCACCUCAAGUGGUCAGGAUGAUUAUUGGGCCUAAAGCAUCCGUAGCCUGCCUUGUUAGUUUUCGGUUAAAUCCAUACGCUCAACGUAUGGGCUGCCGGGAAUACUGCAAAGCUAGGGAGUGGGAGAGGUAGACGGUACUCGGUAGGAAGGGGUAAAAUCCUUUGAUCUAUUGAUGACCACCUGUGGCGAAGGCGGUCUACCAGAACACGUCCGACGGUGAGGGAUGAAAGCUGGGGGAGCAAACCGGAUUAGAUACCCGGGUAGUCCCAGCUGUAAACUAUGCAAACUCGGUGUUGCAUUGGCUUGAUGCCAAUGCAGUGCCGCACGGAAGCCGUUAAGUUUGCCGCCUGGGGAGUACGUACGCAAGUAUGAAACUUAAAGGAAUUGGCGGGGGAGCACCAUAAGGGGUGAAGCCUGCGGUUCAAUUGGAGUCAACGCCGGGA